CUAUCUUCAAGCACAGCUUGGUUGUUGAGCCCAAUUGUCCUCUAAUGGACAGGCUCGAAAUGCAGCGGCGAUGCCAUGUUUGGCGCCCGAGUGUAUGGGGCUUUGUCACACACUUUUGUGGCCCAGCUGGCGUUAGUCUUGACCGUUAAACUAAG
This 155-nucleotide unclassified non-coding RNA is filed under the name uncultured Eurotiomycetes. RNAcentral's name for it is "sequence contains ITS2". The record is from RNAcentral. Lineage: Eukaryota; Fungi; Ascomycota; Eurotiomycetes.